Molecule: transfer RNA, 76 nt
Filed under: Caudoviricetes sp.
Lineage: Duplodnaviria; Heunggongvirae; Uroviricota; Caudoviricetes
Also listed under: 1 other name
Description: tRNA-Lys
Rfam family: tRNA
About the family: Transfer RNA (tRNA) molecules are approximately 80 nucleotides in length. Their secondary structure includes four short double-helical elements and three loops (D, anti-codon, and T loops).
Source: RNAcentral
GCGGGUAUAGCUCAGUUGGUAGAGCAGCUGACUCUUAAUCAGAAGGUCGUGGGUUCAACCCCCUCUACCCGCACCA